This 868-nucleotide ribosomal RNA is filed under the name uncultured archaeon. Its description in RNAcentral is "bacterial SSU rRNA". It matches the Rfam family "Archaeal small subunit ribosomal RNA", at positions 1 to 878 of the family's 1478-position model. The record is from RNAcentral.
CUCCGGGUGAUCCCGCCGGACCUGACUGCUAUCGGAUUGGUACUAAGCCAUGCGAGUCGUUGUAGCAAUACAAGGCGGACGGCUCAGUAACACGUAGUCAACCUAACCUAUGGACGUGGAUAACCUCGGGAAACUGAGAAUAAACCGCGAUAGAUCAUUAUGCCCGGAAUGGCUUAUGGUUCAAACAAUUUAUUGCCGUAGGAUGGGACUGCGGCCUAUCAGCUUGUUGGUGAGGUAAUGGCCCACCAAGGCUAUAACAGGUACGGGCUCUGAGAGGAGAAGCCCGGAGAUGGGUACUGAGACACGGACCCAGGCCCUAUGGGGCGCAGCAGGCGAGAAACCUUAGCAAUGUGCGAAAGCACGACUAGGUUAAUCCGAGUGAUUUCUGUUGAAGAAAUCUUUUGUCAGUCGUAAAACCACAGACGAAUAAGGGGUGGGCAAGUCUGGUGUCAGCCGCCGCGGUAAUACCAGCACCUCGAGUGGUCAGGAGGUUUAUUGGGCCUAAAGCAUCCGUAGCCGGCUACGCAAGUCUCCGGUUAAAUCCAGCUGCUCAACAGAUGGGCUGCCGGAGAUACUACAUAGCUAGGGAGCGGGAGAGGUAGACGGUAUUCUGUGGGUAGGGGUAAAAUCCACUGAUCCAUAGAGGACCACCAGUGGCGAAGGCGGUCUACCAGAACGCGUUCGACGGUGAGGGAUGAAAGCUGGGGGAGCAAACCGGAUUAGAUACCCGGGUAGUCCCAGCUGUAAACGAUGCAAACUCGGUGAUGCAUUGGCUUAUGGCCAAUGCAGUGCCGCAGGGAAGCCGUUAAGUUUGCCGCCUGGGAAGUACGGACGCAAGUCUGAAACUUAAAGGAUUGGCGGGGGAGCA